Molecule: ribosomal RNA, 333 nt
Filed under: uncultured Rikenellaceae bacterium
Lineage: Bacteria; Pseudomonadati; Bacteroidota; Bacteroidia; Bacteroidales; Rikenellaceae
Description: bacterial SSU rRNA
Rfam family: Bacterial small subunit ribosomal RNA
Source: RNAcentral
UGAGGAAUAUUGGACAAUGGAUGGAAAUCUGAUCCAGCCAUGCCGCGUGCAGGAAGACGGUCCUAUGGAUUGUAAACUGCUUUAGCAUGGGAGCAAUAAGGUGUACGCGUACACCGAUGAGAGUACCAUGAGAAUAAGCACCGGCUAACUCCGUGCCAGCAGCCGCGGUAAUACGGAGGGUGCAAGCGUUAUCCGGAUUUAUGGGUUUAAAGGGUGCGUAGGCUGUAAGUCAAGUCAGCGGUGAAAUGCGUAGAUAUUGGGAGGAACACCAGUGGCGAAGGCGGCUUACUGGACGAUGACUGACGUUGAGGCUCGAAAGCGUGGGGAGCAAAC